Long non-coding RNA from Branchiostoma belcheri (Belcher's lancelet), 274 nucleotides. RefSeq lists it as uncharacterized. The transcript has 3 exons. Lineage: Eukaryota; Metazoa; Chordata; Leptocardii; Amphioxiformes; Branchiostomatidae. The record is from RefSeq and is a predicted model, not a curated record.
GAAUUUUUGGACAACUCUCACGUCAAGCCUAUUGGGACAACUCACUUUCAAGACUUCAAGUUCACUACAGAAAAAAGUACUUCAGUGCCAGACGCCAAGUCAACAGCAUGCGUCCCGACCUGAGGGUGGUGGGCGUGCUGCUCCUGUGGGCCUGUUUCCUGGCAGGGACGCAAGCUAGCGGACGUAGAACCUGCAGUGCGUGGGGCGACCCGCACUACACAACUUUCGACCGGCGCAGAUACGACUUCCAGGGAGAGUGCAAUUUCACCUUCGC